Molecule: long non-coding RNA, 1086 nt
Organism: Lontra canadensis (Northern American river otter)
Lineage: Eukaryota; Metazoa; Chordata; Mammalia; Carnivora; Mustelidae
Exons: 2
Source: RefSeq, a predicted model, not a curated record
AGUUAGCGGCCCUGACCCUUGGGACUCAAGGUGGGACUGUUGGGGAAGGGUCUUGACAAGACGGUCAGCUUUGCCAUGGCAGCGGGAGACAGCAGGGAGCCCUUUCCGGAGUCCUGGUGAGGGUGACAGUGGCCACGCUGGGGUAGCAAAGCUGACAGAACGUAGGUUGGGCGCUGCCGGCGGGUGAUUCUGACUGAGAAGGAAGCCAGCGCUGGAGACCCAGGAGCCUCAGAGAGACCCGUUUGUGAUGACACCAGGACCCAGUCUUGCCUGAACCCCGUCUAUCUUAGACUUCCUAGUCACGUGAGCCAAUAAACAUUGUUCUCCCUCAAAGACAGUUGGCUUUCCGUCACUUGUGACUGCAAGAGCUCUGGUGGCAGGGACCACGAAUGGGAAGCGGUUUCCAGCGGCCCGGGAGCGGAAGCAGUCUUCCUGGCAGCCAGCUGGGCCCAGUCCCGGCAAGCUGGACACCGGGGUCUGCAGAGCCGAGGGCAUGCCAUGCAGGUGUGACGCAUGUAGGUGGGAGAGGAAGACGCCUUUGGAACUGGUGGCUGGGCCACGGCUGGAGAUGAGCUUCUGAACUGAGAAGGUUCCAGAGCGGAGAGGCUGGGAACGACUGGAGAAGGCAAGAAGCCCAGGACGCUGGGAGCAGCCUUCCAGGCAAAAGACUUAAGGAGGCCCAGGCAGGUGUCCACCAACAGACAUACAGGAAUGUUUGUAGCUCCCGGCCAAGACAACCCACAGGCCCAGCAGCAAGAGUGUGACUAAGGAAAUGAUGGAAUAUUGGGCAAUAGAAGAGCCACAGAAAAGCCCUAACCACCAUCACACGCAACAGCAUGGGCCGAUCGCGUGGACGUUCUGUUGAGCCAAAGAAGCCAAACACAGGAUUCCAUGUGAUGAUCGUUCAUUUAAAUGACGUUCCGGGGCAGACAGUGGGAUUCAGCGUGAUGCUACCAUUUGGGGGGAGGAGAGGGGCUGGGAGGGGGUGCAAAGCAGCCCUCUGGAAAUGUUUCACUGCUCGAACUGGGUGGUGUUUGUAUGUAAAAGUACAUUAAAGCCACACAUUUCAGAUGUGUGUUUGUAGGA